GUCUCCAACCUCUUCCGCUGCCUGCGCUCACGGCACUUACCUCCACAGUCGGGAUCGGCGCAGUCAGCUGCUCCGGAGUCAGGCUCCCGAACUCCUCGGCUAGAACAUCCAUUCCAUUCACGGUAGAGGAAGAAGUCGGCAGAAUGUUCACAUCCGCCCGUGCGGCUCCAAGCAAGUAGCACGCGGAGAGUGGUGUGCGUUCUCCUCCGGUGUCCCCGUGGCGCUUGUUUACGGGGAGGCGUUUCAAAAGGUUCCGCCUGGUCAGGGCCUAACCUGCGGAGGAACCCGGAAGUGACCGAGCCGGAUGUGGAAAACUACACCCACUGGUGUACUUCCGAGGUCUCGCCGGGCUAAUCCUAGCCUCUUGACAGGCUCAUUUCCAAAGGAAACGUCAGAGGGACGGAGUUUGUUACCACUACACCGAAUAAACGAAGGAUUGCACAUAAUCCUCCCACGGCAGCACAGACACCUAUAAUCCCAGCAUUUAGAAGCUAGAGGUAGGAGGGCAUCCAGAAAUUCAAGGGCAUCCUUGGCUACCUAACAAGGUCGAGGCCAGCCUGGGCUACAUGAAACCCUGUCUCCAAAGAAAAGGUAAUGUAUUAAUAACAUUGAUUGGUGAAAGAUUUCAAGGAUGGCAACGGAGAAAGCAUAAGAAUUGCUAAAAGUUGUAUUCCAUUAAUUUUUAAAAAAUUAGAUACACCUAUAAAAAAUCUCUAUGAAUAGUAAACACACAGUUGGUAGAAGACAAAAGGAUUUGUCACUGAAAUUGGAAAUGAGUUCAUGCAAGUCCAAUGGUAAGAAAAAUCCCAUGGGAAGAAGAGGUAAAAGAUGCCAACAGUUUUUAAAUGAGUUUCAGUUUGGGAACAUACAAAAAUUGUGGAGAUGGAUGGUGUCACAUGAGUGUGUACAAUGCUCCUGGCCAUUUAAUAGUUGAACUAUUUAAUAGUUCACCUGUAUAAUUAGCACCAUCUAAUAAUAUGUGUUCUUUUUUUUUUUUAAACCUGGUCCAAGGUAAUCUGCGUACAGAGUUAGCUAGUUAAAUUUCAGUGCUUGUAUCUAAACGUUGUGCUGAUAGACUUCUGAAACUAAGUGAAGAAAGAAAGAAAAAAAUUACAGGCCACCAAGAUGGCUCAGUAUGUUAAGUCACCUGCCACAAAGCUUGAAAAGCCGCGUUCAGCCCCCAAGACCCACAUUGUAGAAGGAGAGAAGCAACUCUAAAGAGCUGUCCUCUGAUCCCCAUACUCACAUGUAAGACAAAUCAUUUAAAACUAAGAAUGAUCAGCCCCCCCCCCCCUUAAAUCCUUAAGAUUUACUCAGAGAAACUACAUUUGAAUGGUCCCUGUGAGUUAUUAUACCAGAGAGCACCCUACUUAGUGUAGUCUGGAAGGGGUUGGGAAAGGGAGCUGAAGACUUGAGGACAUCAAGUUUGGCUCAGGUGUGUCAGCUGUCUUCUACAAAGUCAUCUUGGAUUCCCACUAUGAAGAUGGUUCUACUGUAAACCAGAUCACAGACACCUGGAGAACUAAAAAAUCUCAGCUUUCUGAUUGGCAGGCUGGAGCUGGAAAUCUGCAUUUCUAGCAAGAUCUCUGCUGCUGUGACCUAAUACCAUAACCUCUGUACUUGUCUAGUUCUUCAGUCUGUGAAUGCUGGAAUGAAAAUGGCCUUGCAUUCCAGGUUCUAGUGCAUUGUUUGUUCCUUAAUAAGUUUGUGUUGAAUUCAUAAUUUGAAAAUAGAAUUGCAGUAGGUAAUAAUAAGUUUAACAUUGUAUUUCUGUUUUUCACCGAGUUUUUAAAGUUUCUUUUGAAAUGAAGGACACUUUGGAGGAUGCAGUCCCUAAUCUUCAUGGCUACACUUAGUUGACAGUGAUGAUGUUGGCUAUUAGACCACAAUUCCUUGUAAGAUUUCUUGCAUUACACCUGUAUCCCAGAUCAAACCCAUGACUUCUUUUUUAUCUCUAGGAGGCUAGACUUUGGAAGCAAGGUGGGGAAAAAGCCAGGGGUAGUUUUGUGCUUCCUCAGUAUUAUGCUACCAUAUCCUUUUACUGAGGUAUUAAUACAAAAGCCUAAAGCAUAAGGUGUGGGAGCUCCCGGAGGACAAGUGCUGUGCAUCCUGAGCCAUCCUUUAUACAAGGCGAAUGGGUAUGUGUUAGCCAAGUGAAAAGUUAUCCAAUGCCAUGGGGGCAAGAAUGGCUGACUGAGGGACACUGUAAUCUGUAAUGGGAGAGGUGUUUAGGACUCUGGGAAACUGGGAAAAGUGUACAUUAAUUUGAACAUUACUCCUUAACAGGUAUUUGAUUGCUAUCUUUAGGUGGAUUCUCUAAUUAUCCACCCUUGGUGGUAAGUAGAGAUCUUCAUUUGACAAGCUAAGGCAGUGGUUAAGAAAUUUGGCUCACACCUUUAAUCUCAGCACUUAGGAGGCAGAAAGGCAGGUGAGUUUCUAAGUUCAAGGCUAGCCUGACCUACAGAGUAAGUUUGAAGACAGCCAGGGCUACACAAAAAAACCCUGUCUCAAAAAAAAAAAAAAAGAAAGUAGGAAGGGAGGAAGGAAGGAAGGAAAGAAGGGAGGGGGGGAGGGAGAGGGAGGAAGGAAGAGAAAAAGGAAAAGCAAUUUUUCAAAUGGAGUUGGGAUUUAAAUCCCUAAUUAUCUUAGCCCAGGACAUGUUAGGUCUCAAACUCAGGUUCCUUUGAGACCUAAUACUUUUAAACCACUGAAUACUGACACCACACCAAAAGCAUGGGGAGGCAAAGACAUUUUAACACGCAGAGCUAUGAGAGUUUAUUUUUCUAUGCUGGCAACUGUAUGUGGUGCUCAUGCAGGGCUUGCCAAGGACAAGUUUGUUUGGUGGCACUGGAGACCCAGCAGAGCUGUGCAUUUUACAGCCUUUGUCUCAUGUUAAAGAACUUAGAUAUGUUUCUGAGGCUUUAUCAGAAUAUGAUAGAAUAUAUCCCAUCACUACAUUCCAGGUGUAAGAAAAUAUCUCCAGUGCUGUUUCUGUCCGUGGAUAUGAAAGAUCCUGACAGAAUGUAAAAGGUCACAGAAGCCCUGAAAUUGGCAAGAUAGAUGUCACUGUUAGCAGAACUAGCUUCACUGAUUUAGAAAAAUAGAGGUGCACAAUGCUCUGGCCACUCCUUGAACCUGUGUGUCUGCCAAUGCUUUGACCAUUCCUUGAACCCAUGUGUGUGCCCACUGAUGAAGCCCAUUGCCGGGUGUUUGUAAUAUUGGUUGCUGAGAAAGAGUCAGAAAAUCUCCCCAGCAACCACAGCCCGGCCAAUCCAGAGUUGCUACACCUGCACCAGACUCUUUCCUUGUACCCAUUUCUUGAGAAUAGACAUUGUUUAGAUCUGGAAAUCCCCUAAUCUCCCCCUUUUCCUUUCCCCCCUGAGGGCCUAUAAAAACUGGGACCUCUUUUCCCUCGAGGUCAACUCCUCUACCCCUGCGUGGGAUAUGAGUCGUCCCCAGAGCUCUGGCCUUCCCCGAAUAAAGCCUCAUGUGGUUUACAU
This 3500-nucleotide long non-coding RNA is filed under the name Mus musculus (house mouse). RNAcentral's name for it is "predicted gene, 17249". The record is from RNAcentral. Lineage: Eukaryota; Metazoa; Chordata; Mammalia; Rodentia; Muridae.